UAAGUGGCGUUGAUAAGGAAUAGUAGAAAACUUACGCAUUUCAGAGAGAGAAGCAGUGGUGAGAGCUUCUUAUGCAGUGGUUUUUGAACCGGCCCUUGGAGCCUUGUAUGAAAGGAUUAACUCCCCAAGUACAACGUAGAACCGGCGUUAACGGUAUAAAGAGAGCAUAUAUACAAAGUAGUAUAUAUGCUAAUUAGGGUGGUACCGCCGAGUCUUUCGGUCCCUUAU
Molecule: non-coding RNA, 228 nt
Filed under: Herbinix sp.
Lineage: Bacteria; Bacillati; Bacillota; Clostridia; Lachnospirales; Lachnospiraceae
Description: T-box sequence
Rfam family: T-box leader
About the family: Uncharged tRNA acts as the effector for transcription antitermination of genes in the T-box leader family. T-boxes are found upstream of many aminoacyl-tRNA synthetase genes and some amino acid biosynthetic genes usually in Gram-positive bacteria.
Source: RNAcentral